This is a long non-coding RNA of Xenopus tropicalis (tropical clawed frog), 504 nucleotides long. RefSeq lists it as uncharacterized. Lineage: Eukaryota; Metazoa; Chordata; Amphibia; Anura; Pipidae. The transcript has 2 exons. The record is from RefSeq and is a predicted model, not a curated record.
AACAAAAGAAUUGAAUGAAUGUGUUUUAAAUGAAUUAGCACCCACAGGGUCUAAGGGAAGGGGCCACAUGAAGGCCUAGUAUUUUGUAUUUGCACCAAGAUUUCUCACCUGCUUAGCUUUCUUUUUGUCCUAAUCCUGUAGAACCUUGACUUUUGACACCCUGGUUUUCUCUCAGGUACACCCAAAGGUUGUGAAAGCUUUCUGAAACUUCUUCCUCCACCAAAGACAUUUCCAGACUGUUCUGAUUGAUUCCAAGGCUGGGAGUACUAAGCAGCCUCAGCAGUUUGGAACAGGAGGCGGCACAGAUCAAGCAACUGCACUGAAGUGCAAUGAGCACCUUUUGGCACAAGUAAAAAGCAUUGUAAAAUAAAUGGCAAAUUAAUAAAGGUGUAUUUUCCUUUACACCACAGGAUCACUGUAUUUGAUGCCAUUAUUUUUAUGGCAUAACCCAUUCAAGUCGAUGGGACCCAAGUACAUUUUGGCAUUAAAAUAGCAUAAAAAGCG